RNAcentral lists this ribosomal RNA (313 nucleotides) under uncultured bacterium. RNAcentral describes it as "bacterial SSU rRNA". It matches the Rfam family "Bacterial small subunit ribosomal RNA", at positions 29 to 334 of the family's 1533-position model. The record is from RNAcentral.
AGCGAACGUUAGCGGCGGGCCUAACACAUGCAAGUCGAACGAGAAAGUCCUUCGGGGCGAGUAUAGUGGCGCACGGGUGAGGAACGCGUAGGUAAUCUACCCUCCGGCGGGGGACAACAUUCCGAAAGGAAUGCUAAUACCGCAUAAAGACCACGUUCACUACGGUGAGAGUGGUAAAAGGCGCCUCAAAGCGCCACCAGAGGAUGAGCCUGCGUCCCAUCAGCUUGUUGGUAAGGUAACGGCUUACCAAGGCUAAGACGGGUAGCUGGUCUGAGAGGAUGAUCAGCCACACUGGCACUGGAACACGGGCCAG